UUUCGUCUCUGUCUGGGAGUUUCGGCCGCCGAAGGUGCCGCCGAACCUGCCUGACUUUCGGCUCUGGAGGGACUUUCGGCCGCCGAACCUGCCGCCGAAAGUGCCCUGUCCAGGCCUCCUUUGCAUGUUUUUCUAUGGUUGUUUCAUGAUGUUUUAGGGGGUUUUUGGGGAGUAGUUUAGAGAUAUGUUCCAGUAUGUUUGGUCCCUCAUUUGAGUCCACCUGUGUAGGUUCGGACCCGAGGAACCGAGGACCCCAGCAGUGAGUUCAGCUGCUUCGGUGUCGUCAGAGUCAGCCAGAGGUGAGUG
This 306-nucleotide long non-coding RNA is filed under the name Manihot esculenta (cassava). Its description in RNAcentral is "long non-coding RNA (MESC_LNC009140)". Lineage: Eukaryota; Viridiplantae; Streptophyta; Magnoliopsida; Malpighiales; Euphorbiaceae. The record is from RNAcentral.